AGUCGUGUGGUGAGCACAAAGCAAACUAUUCUUUCGCCUUUUACUAAAGAAUACCGUGUGCUCGUCAUUCUAAGCGGCAUACGCCAAUUUUUGGAGUACUUGUCCUUGUCGACAAGU
Molecule: small nuclear RNA, 117 nt
Organism: Hibiscus syriacus
Lineage: Eukaryota; Viridiplantae; Streptophyta; Magnoliopsida; Malvales; Malvaceae
Product: U5 spliceosomal RNA
Exons: 1
Source: RefSeq, a predicted model, not a curated record